Molecule: transfer RNA, 71 nt
Filed under: Trichonephila inaurata madagascariensis
Lineage: Eukaryota; Metazoa; Arthropoda; Arachnida; Araneae; Nephilidae
Rfam family: tRNA
About the family: Transfer RNA (tRNA) molecules are approximately 80 nucleotides in length. Their secondary structure includes four short double-helical elements and three loops (D, anti-codon, and T loops). Further hydrogen bonds mediate the characteristic L-shaped molecular structure. tRNAs have two regions of fundamental functional importance: the anti-codon, which is responsible for specific mRNA codon recognition, and the 3' end, to which the tRNAs corresponding amino acid is attached (by aminoacyl-tRNA synthetases). tRNAs cope with the degeneracy of the genetic code in two manners: having more than one tRNA (with a specific anti-codon) for a particular amino acid; and 'wobble' base-pairing, i.e. permitting non-standard base-pairing at the 3rd anti-codon position.
Source: Rfam by way of RNAcentral
UCCUCGGUAGUAUAGUGGUCAGUAUCCCCGCCUGUCACGCGGGAGACCGGGGUUCGAUUCUCGCCGGGGAG